Molecule: ribosomal RNA, 547 nt
Filed under: uncultured Actinomycetes bacterium
Lineage: Bacteria; Bacillati; Actinomycetota; Actinomycetes
Description: bacterial SSU rRNA
Rfam family: Bacterial small subunit ribosomal RNA
Source: RNAcentral
CAUUGGGACUGAGAUACGGCCCAGACUCCUACGGGAGGCAGCAGUGGGGAAUAUUGCACAAUGGGCGCAAGCCUGAUGCAGCGACGCCGCGUGGGGGAUGACGGCCUUCGGGUUGUAAACUCCUUUCGCUAGGGACGAAGCUUUUUGUGACGGUACCUAGAUAAGAAGCACCGGCUAACUACGUGCCAGCAGCCGCGGUAAUACGUAGGGUGCGAGCGUUGUCCGGAAUUACUGGGCGUAAAGGGCUCGUAGGUGGUUUGCCGCGUCGUCUGUGAAAUUCCGGGGCUUAACUCCGGGCGUGCAGGCGAUACGGGCAUAACUUGAGUACUGUAGGGGUAACUGGAAUUCCUGGUGCAGCGGUGAAAUGCGCAGAUAUCAGGAGGAACACCGAUGGCGAAGGCAGGUUACUGGGCAGUUACUGACGCUGAGGAGCGAAAGCAUGGGUAGCGAACAGGAUUAGAUACCCUGGUAGUCCAUGCCGUAAACGGUGGGCGCUAGGUGUGAGGGUCUUUUCACGACUUUCGUGCCGUAGCUAACGCAUUAAGCG